RNAcentral lists this ribosomal RNA (385 nucleotides) under uncultured archaeon. RNAcentral's name for it is "bacterial SSU rRNA". It matches the Rfam family "Archaeal small subunit ribosomal RNA", at positions 345 to 727 of the family's 1478-position model. The record is from RNAcentral.
AACCUCCGCAAUGCACGCAAGUGUGACGGGGGGACUCCAAGUGUUUCUGUUUUUAAAACAGUUUCUUUUCUGAAGUGUAAAUAGCUUCAGGAAUAAGAGCUGGGAAAGACAGGUGCCAGCCGCCGCGGUAAUACCUGCAGCUCGAGUGGUCUGGAUUUUUAUUGGGUCUAAAGCGUUCGUAGCAGGGCGCAUAAGUUUUCUGUGAAAUCUGAUAGCUUAACUAUCAGGCGUGCAGAGGAUACUAUGUGCCUUGGGACUGGGAUGGGUCGAGGGUACUCCAGGGGUAAGGGUGAAAUCUAAUAAUCCUUGGGGGACCACCUGUGGCGAAGGCGCUCGGCUAGAACAGAUCCGACUGUGAGGGACGAAAGCUAGGGGAGCGAACGGG